AUGGGCCAAGGUGAGAUCAUCGUGGUUCUUACAGGAAAAUGGAUCCAGAGGUGUUCCUUCCCAGCCCUUCAAGUCCCUAGGAAGACUCCCAAGGAUUGGAUGGAUGGACGUCCAAUGUUACAGAAAACAAAGCUGCAGAUAAAAGAUCAUUGCCUUCUAAAACUGUUCUGGCUGAAAUCCCUGCACCUCUUAGUAUUUGGGAGGAAAAGAAAAGUCAAGGUUUGUGUUGAUCGACCUUCCUCGCUUCAGCAUGAACAGAUUGGAAGUGCUACCCCAAACCCCAAAUCCCAAACCCCAGAGAUUGCUUGCAGAGAUAGCCCAACAUCUCCUCUUGUCACACGUGCCCUGUAGCCAUAUGGUCCGCCAUUCUCCUUCAGUUACCUGGCCUCACCUAGAGACUUGUUUAAUGAACAGAACGCUGCAGAAGUGAAUCACACAGCUUCAGAGACUACACCUCAAGAGGUCUGGCAACUUCCAUUUUUGCCUUCUUGGAACCCUGAGCCACCAGGUAAGGAUGGCUGGCUAAACAGCUAAAAAGAUCACUUAGAGAGAGAGGCUCUGGCUGAUAGACAAUGGCAACCAUGAGACAUGUUCUAUCUCCAGCCACCCCCUUGGCUGCAGCCAGAUGAGCGAUCUUGGCCAAUACCUUGUGGGGCGGAGGAAGCGCUGGGCUGAGUCCAGCCAAACCACACAAUCGUGAGAAGUGAUAAACAGUUGCUGUUUUAAGGUA
RNAcentral lists this long non-coding RNA (730 nucleotides) under Suricata suricatta (meerkat). RNAcentral describes it as "lncRNA (ENSSSUG00005013119.1)". The record is from RNAcentral. Lineage: Eukaryota; Metazoa; Chordata; Mammalia; Carnivora; Herpestidae.